This 131-nucleotide ribosomal RNA is filed under the name uncultured bacterium. Its description in RNAcentral is "partial 16S ribosomal RNA". It matches the Rfam family "Bacterial small subunit ribosomal RNA", at positions 1377 to 1505 of the family's 1533-position model. The record is from RNAcentral.
GACCUUGCACACACCACCCGUCACACCACGAAAGUCGGUUCUACCCGAAGUGGUCGAGCUAACCCGCAAGGGGGGCAGACUCCUAAGGUAGGGCUGGUGAUUGGGGUGAAGUCGUAACAAGGUAACCGUAA